This 488-nucleotide ribosomal RNA is filed under the name uncultured bacterium. RNAcentral's name for it is "partial 16S ribosomal RNA". It matches the Rfam family "Bacterial small subunit ribosomal RNA", at positions 29 to 507 of the family's 1533-position model. The record is from RNAcentral.
ACGAACGCUGGCGGCGUGCUUAACACAUGCAAGUCGAACGGUGAAGGGACCAGCUUGCUGGUUCUGGAUGAGUGGCGAACGGGUGAGUAACACGUGAGUAACCUGCCCCCUUCUUCUGGAUAACCGCAUGAAAGUGUGGCUAAUACGGGAUAUUCUGGGUCUGUCGCAUGGCGGGCCCGGGAAAGAUAUUGCUUCGGUGGGGGAUGGGCUCGCGGCCUAUCAGCUUGUUGGUGGGGUGAUGGCCUACCAAGGCGGUGACGGGUAGCCGGCCUGAGAGGGUGGACGGUCACACUGGGACUGAGACACGGCCCAGACUCCUACGGGAGGCAGCAGUGGGGAAUAUUGCACAAUGGGCGCAAGCCUGAUGCAGCGACGCCGCGUGAGGGAUGGAGGCCUUCGGGUUGUAAACCUCUUUCGCCAGUGAAGCAGGCCUGCUCCUUGUGGGUGGGUUGACGGUAGCUGGAUAAGAAGCGCCGGCUAACUACGUG